Podarcis muralis (Common wall lizard) is the source of this 3037-nucleotide non-coding RNA. The record is from RefSeq and is a predicted model, not a curated record. Lineage: Eukaryota; Metazoa; Chordata; Lepidosauria; Squamata; Lacertidae.
CGGCUGCGCGCGGGUCAGCUGGAGGCGGCUCCGGGAGCGCGCGGCUCGGCGACGGCAUCCCGGAGGGAGCAGCAUGUGCAGAAACCACCUUCUUGACUGUUGGGUCCUCUCUUAGCCUUCAUGGAAAUCCCUAACUCACCAAGGGUUUCAGACCCCUCAACUCCCCUCAACUGCUUCAGCUGGCCAGUCAAUGCCGUUUCCUGGGGUAUGUCCGCUGUCUCGUGCCGACAGCUUCUAGGAACCACAGGUGAGAGUUGAGUGCUGGGUGGGCACCAAAGGUGGACAAACUCUCUGCAGACUUUGUGCAAACAAAUCAGGCCAGUGCUUGGAGGCAUUGAUGUCCUGGAUGUGGGCAAUAUGUUGAAGCUGAAUCCUGAAAAGAUGGAGGUCUUUAGUGUCCCAGGAAGUGGAGAGACAUCCGGUCAUGGACAGGGUUGCACUCCCUUGGAUGGAACAGAUUCGCAGCUUGGGGAUGUUGCUGGAUUCAGCUGGUGGCCUUGGUGACUAGGAGGGCCUUUUUCGAGCUCUGACUGCUUCACCAUCUCUCGGCCCUUUUAGAAAGACGUGGCUGUGGUGACACCAUGCUCUGGUAACUUCCAGAAUAGAUUGUUGCAAUGCUCUAUACAAGACAGGAGAGUCCAACUGAACAUCCGGAAGAGCUUUCUGGUGGUCCUGUUUAGAGGUUGUGGGCUCUCCUGUAGUUGCGAUGCCUGCAUCACAGAGGGUUGGACCAGCUGAGCUGCUUGGGAUCCCCUCCCACACUACAAUUCUAUGAUUCUAUGACUCCUUUCCCCUUAUACCCCACCUUUCCUCCAAAGUGCUCAAGGUGGCCCUCCUGGUUUCCCAUUUCCCAUGUUAUCCUCACAAUGACCCUGUGAGGUAGGUGAGGCUGAGAGACAAUGACUGGCCAAAGGCCUCACUUGAGGGCCAAGCCGUGGCUUUUACCCUGUUCUCCCAGAUCCAAUAAAUGUCCCACAAUGUUACUCCAUAUUCUGGAAAGUAGGUCUAGAAGUGAAGAAGCAGGAGGGCCUUUUCUCAUCGCUCUGGACGUUUAUGGCGACCCUUGUUAACAGUUCUGGGUGGCAACUUUCCCCUUUCCACCACCCCUGCCUAUAUGACCUCCUAGUUGCCCUACCAGGUCCAGCAUCCACCAGCUGCCGCUGUUAUUUCCCCUUUUAAGCCAGAAGGGAGCCUGGUAGCGGAGCUCUUUUCAGGAAGGAAAGGGUUAAGCAACCCCGCCCUCAUGGUCCCUCCACCCCGAAUUUCAGCCUGUGCUGCUAAUUCUCAGGGAGACUGAUUCACUUAUCUUCUCCCAUGGAGCAGCUAUUUUGUGCCCCCCAGUCACUUUCUGAGGAUGCAACUUCACUAAUGGUCUUCUGCCCUUUGAAAUCUCACUUAGCCUGUAAUGCUUCUGAGGUUCAGGGCGGGACCACAGGAGCCAUAAAUGCAGCUGAGACUGAGAAGAGCCCCUUCCCCAGAGCCCAGAGGAGCAGCUGUCUCUCUGCAGAGGACAAGAGGGCAGGGAAAGAGCAGUGGCAGGCCUCAUCCAAUAUUUUCUAAAAGGAUCCUCUCCACACUGGGGCUCUUGGCAGCAGUCUUUAAAGCUGAAUCUAGCGGGAGCUGAAUAAUUCAGCCUGCUCACCCAGGGCUUUCUGUGAUGUUAAAGUGGUCAAAAGCCCCUUGGCCAGUCAGUGCCCAGCCGUUUGGGCUUAGAUAAAGCAGGAAGAGCCUUUUUCUUAUUUUCCUCAGCCUGACCCAAGGAGCUGCCUGCUGCUUUUUCCACCUCCGCCUGCCUGGGCUCCCCCUCCAUGGGGCUGCUGACUUCACGGUGCCAGGCAGUCGCUGGGGAGGCUCAGCCUCUGGAUUCUGCAGGCAGCACUUCCUUCCCUUCCAGGCUGCAUGCCUGUGUGUGUUGCUGAAGGGGGCAGUUGUUGCUUCAGGCUUCCCUCCCGCUUAGUUUCUUGCAAGAAGAAAGUCCUGUGCAAAGGGAGGGCCUCACGGUGAGCCAGGCAGGUCUGGCGGGAAGCCCUUUCUUCAUGUCUUCUUCCUGGCUCAUCACCAGUCCAUGACCUGAGCCAAAGGGGGCUGGCAGAAGGGGUAAGUAGGGCUUUCCCCAUUUGUGAUAAUAGACAUUGGUGUGCUUUGUGGGCUUCUUCCUGCUUGUGCCUUUAAGGGUUCCCUGCAGUGAGUGGGCAUCUCUUACUGGGUUGCACAACUCUCUUCCCUUGUGGCCUGAGCUGCUGGUGCUGUGACUCUUAAUGCCCAACAGUCACAGAAGAGCAUCUGCAGAAGAGGCUGCCUUGGGACAGCUGGCUUGUACUCUUCUUUGCCCUGGCGCAGCCCAUCCCUCGGAAAGGCUGCAUUUCAAGCCCCCUGGAACAGCGGCAGGGAUCAUCCAGGGAGGGCUUGCACCCCAGAGAGGAGGCGUUGGGCUGGGCUCUGCUGGAGAAGGGCCCCAUUUGCUGGGGGAUGAGGAGGCGUCAGAGGCGUCCUUUGAACCAAGUGAAGGAACCCAGCUGGAGGCAAGGCUUUUCUUCCAGGGGUGCUUUUCCCAUUUCUUCAGGGAGAAAGAUUCACCAGCCCCACCCAGAGUGAAACUCCCUCCUCACAGUGAAGGCACAGAAUGAAAAAGCUUAUUUGUGACCCCCCAAAAAAACCUUCACCUGUGAAGCAGGGGCCCAUUCAGUGACCCCCAAGGACAGGAAGGCGGCUUGGAUGCCGCUUAGCACUCUCAGCUGCUCUAAUUUUUGUUUUCUGUGCUUACCCAUUGUUUUUAGUGUAUAUAUUGUUGUGAGCUGUCUUGUAGACAUUUAAGUGGAAAGUAGUUGGAAAUGCUAAAAUAAUAAUUAGAUACUGUUCAUAUGGCAGGCAGGAUUUUAUCAAGUAAACUGUAAAGGAUGUUCAUUUUAUUAUGUGCCAUAAGCUUUAAAUCCUUCUUGGCAACUUUUUUUGCUGAACUGUUUAGCUUCCAUGCUAUAUUUAUGUAUUUGAUUCUCAUCUAUAAGUAAUAAAUCAGUCCUGUUCUUUUUCAGUUUAA